This 1356-nucleotide ribosomal RNA is filed under the name uncultured Sporichthyaceae bacterium. Its description in RNAcentral is "16S ribosomal RNA". It matches the Rfam family "Bacterial small subunit ribosomal RNA". Lineage: Bacteria; Bacillati; Actinomycetota; Actinomycetes; Sporichthyales; Sporichthyaceae. The record is from RNAcentral.
GAGUUUGAUCCUGGCUCAGCCUGAACGCUGGCGGCGUGGCUAAGACAUGCAAGUCGAACGGAUGUAGCAAUACAUCAGUGGCGGACGGGUGAGUAAUGUAUCGCUAAUGUGCCCUAGAGCCUGGGAUAGCCAUCCGAAAGGGUGGGUAAUACCAGAUGAAAUAACUUGAUCGCAUGAUCGAGUUCUCAAAGCAGCAAUGCACUCCUGGAGCAGGCGAUAUCGUAUCAGCUAGUUGGUGAGGUAACGGCCCACCAAGGCGACGACGGGUAGCCGGCCUGAGAGGGCGACCGGCCACACUGGGACUGAGACACGGCCCAGACUCCUACGGGAGGCAGCAGUGGGGAAUAUUGCGCAAUGGGCGAAAGCCUGACGCAGCGACGCCGCGUGAGGGAUGAAGGCCUUCGGGUUGUAAACCUCUUUCAGCAGGGACGAAAACAGACGGUACCUGCAGAAGAAGCACCGGCCAACUACGUGCCAGCAGCCGCGGUACUACGUAGGGUGCAAGCGUUGUCCGGAAUUAUUGGGCGUAAAGAGCUCGUAGGCGGUCUGUCGCGUCGGCUGUGAAAACUCGGGGCUCAACCCCGAGCCUGCAGUCGAUACGGGCAGACUAGAGUGCGGUAGGGGAGACUGGAAUUCCUGGUGUAGCGGUGAAAUGCGCAGAUAUCAGGAGGAACACCGGUGGCGAAGGCGGGACUCUGGGCCGAUAUUGACGCUGAGGAGCGAAAGCGUGGGGAGCGAACAGGAUUAGAUACCCUGGUAGUCCACGCCGUAAACGUUGGGCGCUAGGUGUGGGGAACCUUCCACGUUCUCCGUGCCGCAGCUAACGCAUUAAGCGCCCCGCCUGGGGAGUACGGCCGCAAGGCUAAAACUCAAAGGAAUUGACGGGGGCCCGCACAAGCGGCGGAGCAUGCGGCUUAAUUCGACGCAACGCGAAGAACCUUACCAAGGCUUGACAUAUAGGGAAAUCUCACAGAGAUGUGGGGUCCGCAAGGGCCCUAUACAGGUGGUGCAUGGUUGUCGUCAGCUCGUGUCGUGAGAUGUUGGGUUAAGUCCCGCAACGAGCGCAACCCUCGUCUAAUGUUGCCAGCACGUAAUGGUGGGGACUCAUUAGAGACUGCCGGGGUCAACUCGGAGGAAGGUGGGGAUGACGUCAAAUCAUCAUGCCCCUUAUGUCUUGGGCUGCACGCAUGCUACAAUGGCCGGUACAAAGGGCUGCGAUACCGCGAGGUGGAGCGAAUCCCAAAAAGCCGGUCUCAGUUCGGAUUGGGGUCUGCAACUCGACCCCAUGAAGUCGGAGUCGCUAGUAAUCGCAGAUCAGCAACGCUGCGGUGAUACGUUCCCGGGCAUUGCACACAC